This is a long non-coding RNA of Thunnus maccoyii (southern bluefin tuna), 701 nucleotides long. RefSeq lists it as uncharacterized. The record is from RefSeq and is a predicted model, not a curated record. Lineage: Eukaryota; Metazoa; Chordata; Actinopteri; Scombriformes; Scombridae. The transcript is spliced from 3 exons.
CACACAGACACACUCCCUAAGACAUGGUUGGUGCCUUCUGUUGCUAGCUAGCUUAUAGCUAAUGUACAAUAAUAUAUUCUGGCUGUCUGGGGGAAAUCAACACAAAUGGUCUAGCAAUCGAACUCACAUCCAUUGUGUUUGAUGUAGCCGCGCUCCCGAGGCCCUGUGCUCUCGUCUUCAAUCAAAGACAAUCCCCGUCCACGUUCUUGUCACACUGAGCACAACGUUAAUCAUCCCAGCGGUGUCUCCAAUAUUUGAUGCACACUUGGACACAAAAGGGACUUCCAGGCGUGCUGUUCCUUUUCUGAGGGAGGAUCAGGAUUAUGUAAUCAGAAGGAUGUCUUCUGCUCUUCUGUAAUCACUGGUACGUCAUGGCAUUUUCACAGUGACGCCUUUGAUGUCGUUUUUAUUUGUCUUCCUCGUAGAGCAGUGGCAGGAUGGCAGAUGUAUGCAGAUGCUGUGUGUCGAGUGCCAGAAACAAGAAAAAAAAGUGGAGGCAGUCUCUACCACGUUAUCAAAAUCAGUCAGACUGUAAUCCCAUCUUCUGUUUAUCAAUGUGUCAUUUUAUCGCCACAGAUAAGCAUUUUAUGUAUAAGAUACAUGUAUAAAAACAGAUUGAUGGAAAUAUUGUGCGAAGAAACCCUAAUCCCUGUGUUGUGUUGACACUGGCUUUAUCUGCUCAUUGUUUGGGGUCCCACAGA